RNAcentral lists this ribosomal RNA (398 nucleotides) under uncultured bacterium. RNAcentral's name for it is "partial 16S ribosomal RNA". It matches the Rfam family "Bacterial small subunit ribosomal RNA", at positions 523 to 918 of the family's 1533-position model. The record is from RNAcentral.
AUACGUAGGGUGCGAGCGUUGUCCGGAAUUACUGGGCGUAAAGAGCUCGUAGGUGGUUUGUCGCGUCGUCUGUGAAAUUCCGGGGCUUAACUCCGGGCGUGCAGGCGAUACGGGCAUAACUUGAGUACUGUAGGGGAGACUGGAAUUCCUGGUGUAGCGGUGAAAUGCGCAGAUAUCAGGAGGAACACCGGUGGCGAAGGCGGGUCUCUGGGCAGUAACUGACGCUUAGGAGCGAAAGCAUGGGUAGCGAACAGGAUUAGAUACCCUGGUAGUCCAUGCCGUAAACGGUGGGCGCUAGGUGUAGGGGUCUUCCACGACUUCUGUGCCGUAGCUAACGCAUUAAGCGCCCCGCCUGGGGAGUACGGCCGCAAGGCUAAAACUCAAAUGAAUUGACGGGG